This 70-nucleotide transfer RNA is filed under the name Marmota monax (woodchuck). Its description in RNAcentral is "tRNA.Val". Lineage: Eukaryota; Metazoa; Chordata; Mammalia; Rodentia; Sciuridae. The record is from RNAcentral.
GGAUAUAACUCAACUGGUAUAGUGCUUGCCUCACUUGCACGUGGCCCUGGGUUCAAUCCCCAGCAACACA